Molecule: ribosomal RNA, 266 nt
Filed under: uncultured archaeon
Lineage: Archaea
Description: partial 16S ribosomal RNA
Rfam family: Archaeal small subunit ribosomal RNA
Source: RNAcentral
AGACGUCUACAUUAGAUACCCCCUGUAGUCCAGGGUGUAAACGCUGCAGACUUGGUGUUGGAGGCCCUUUGGGGGCAUUCAGUGCCGGAGAGAAGUUGUUAAGUCUGCUACUUGGGGAGUACGUCCGCAAGGAUGAAACUUAAAGGAAUUGGCGGGGGAGCACAACAACGGGUGGAGCCUGCGGUUUAAUUGGACUCAACGCCGGACAACUCACCGGGAACGACAGCAAUAUGUAGGCCAGGCUGAAGACCUUGCCUGAAUCGCUG